RNAcentral lists this ribosomal RNA (509 nucleotides) under uncultured soil bacterium. RNAcentral describes it as "bacterial SSU rRNA". It matches the Rfam family "Bacterial small subunit ribosomal RNA", at positions 26 to 511 of the family's 1533-position model. The record is from RNAcentral.
AGAACGAACGCUGGCGGCGUGGAUAAGACAUGCAAGUCGAACGGGAUUACUUCUGUAGCAAUACAGAAGUAAUUUAGUGGCGAACGGGUGCGUAACACGUGGGCAAUCUGCCGAGAAGUGGGGGAUAGCUCGCCGAAAGGCGAAUUAAUACCGCAUGUGGUGAGGGGAGACAUCUUCCUGAAUCCAAAGCCGGGGCAACCUGGCGCUUUUUGAGGAGCCCGCGGCCUAUCAGCUAGUUGGUGAGGUAACGGCUCACCAAGGCUUUGACGGGUAGCUGGUCUGAGAGGACGACCAGUCACACUGGAACUGAGACACGGUCCAGACACCUACGGGUGGCAGCAGUCGAGAAUUUUCUCAAUGGGGGCAACCCGUGAAGGAGCGACGCCGCGUGGAGGAUGGAAGGCGUUUCGGGUUGUAAACUCCUGUCAUUUGAGAACAAGGUGCGAGUAUUAACUGUACUCGCUAUUGAUAGUAUCAAGAAGAGGAAGGACGACGUAACUCUGUGACCG